UCUAAAUUAAUCAAGUUAAAAUCUUGGAGAACGGCAACAAAAAAAGGAAAAAAGAAAAAGAAGUGCUCUGCAGUCUUCACUGGCCGACACAGUGUGUAUUGAGAUAAGAAGUAACGUAUUCGAUCUCAUUCGAAGAAUCUGUUUCGUCCUCUCUGUCAGAUCUGAAACCUUAAGGUUUGAAAAGGGAGGCUCUUAUUUCCAAUUUUUGGAGCUUUCAAUUGGAAGAUCUAAAUGCAAACUGUGAGCAAAUUGCAGGAGGAUUAAGAGACACCAAUGAAAGGAUGUUUUGAUGGCUAUUAUCUAAAUUUUAAGCCUUGAUAUCAACUUGACAACAAUGUUCAGAACGAAGCCAGCAUAAUUGGAGCCUACGGGAUGGGUGGUGUAGGAAAGAUGUUAUGUGUGGUUUGUAAUUUUACAAGUCUACAAGUUAGAGAGUCAAAGUGAUGGUUAAAACUAAUAA
This is a long non-coding RNA of Hibiscus syriacus, 460 nucleotides long. RefSeq lists it as uncharacterized. The record is from RefSeq and is a predicted model, not a curated record. The transcript is spliced from 3 exons. NCBI's taxonomy places the organism in Eukaryota, Viridiplantae, Streptophyta, Magnoliopsida, Malvales, Malvaceae.